UCCUAACCUGAUAUUUUUUUCUAGGUGACAAUCACCAUCAUGCUGCAAGUUCAUGGCAUCAGCCUCACAAACAACAGGAAACUCCAGAUCAACAACAAGCAAAGCACGUGAAAUCGUGUCCGAUUGUCUGCUGGGAUAGAGUCCAUGAUUGAUACUGAAAGAAGCCUGAAGAGACACCCUUCGGCUCAGUGCUUCUCCACUACAUGCAGCCAUGACUUUCCUUCUGGUGGCUGGAGACCAAGAUGGAGAGAGGGAGAAAAAUCUUGUGGGACCAGGUAUGGACUUUUACUUGCUCUCUAGAUCUUGUCCAAUAAGUUUCUCGAUACAUAUGUAUGUGAUGGGGUUGACAGUGAAGCAAAGUUGGCUAUGGGUGAACAACUAGCUGUGUUUGCUGGACUUAGGAGGGACAAGAUAAUUAACUGCCUUAAUGAGGCAUCAGGAAGGCCAACUUUAACAUGCAAUCCUAGAAAUCUCUAACUCCACCGUACCACAUUUACAAUGAUUGCUCACCCUCUGCCUUUCCCCACUGCGCCCCUCCUCCUCCUCCUCCUUACAACGUCCACUUCGUGUCCCUCAUGCUGCUUCUUGAACCAAACAUAUCUCCUUCAGCUACAUCAUGUAUGCACGCCUGGCAUUCGCUGAAAUGUCAAUUAAUCCACAAUUCGAGUGGGUCUACCUUCAGUACAACAGUGGGAAAAUUGGCAAGGCAGCAACUGAUUUUGUUUCCAUUGCUCUUGCCCCAUCUCAUUUCCAUUUCGUCUCCAUUGUGGACGUGCUUUGCUUGCAACUGAUUUAAGGUGAAUCCAUCUGACCACAAAAGCCUCCUUAGUAGUUUUGUUUCAACUGCGACUGGAGCAUGCAGCUCUUGCAUGGGGCCUGGAGAAAUUUUAUAUCUAACCACUCACCAAAUAUAAAACUAAAUGGAUAGAGGGCUAGAAGAAGAAGCAUGGUUGCUUGUUUGGUGGAUCUGUACUAUGGAUGUUGUGCUUGUGUGAAUAAAUGCACCAGUCGGGUCCAUUUUGUGUGCCGUAGAUGAGAGUGCCGCACUGAUAUGUCUUGUCAUUCAUGCAAUGUCCAGCUGUGCCAAGAACAAUAAAAGGAAGAAAUUAAUAUAUUUAGCAGUAUUUGAAUAGAGAAGCCUAGAGUUUUACUUGGUUGCAUUAGAUUCUAAGGCCACUAUCAUGGCCUAAUACCUGAUACACUCAAGAAAUUGAAAUAUUCAGCAGUGAACCAGUAAAUGAUCACUGAUGCCAUUGAAGAGAGAAAAAGGUAGGAAAAUGAUGUGCGGAUUGAGGUGUCAAAUCCUUUUGGUUAUUGCUUCUGCUCUUUAAUGUUUCUCCACUGGAGAGGAGGAUGACUUUUGGAGGAUGUGGGGGAACUCUGUUCCCCUUGGUGGCAAUUACUGAAAGCCAAAAUAUUACAGCUCCUGCGCUAUUUGCCCCCACAGAUCUAGCCAAUAAAUUGUCUGGAUUCUUGUCAGAUUUGUGACUAGUUCAUGAAUUUAAAAUUACAGAAUUCUUUUAAAGACGUAUUUAAUUUUCAGAUUUUUUAAUAGGCACAUUUAUUUUCUAUUUUACUUAUUCCUCUAAUGACUGUGGUGUUGUAUUCAAAGAAUAAUAAUAUUGUGUGGUGCUUGAUAAAUCCUAAAACUAAUAUUAUUAUGGUGCUUAUUUUUAAAAUUUUGAAUGCAGCACCAUAGUAAUUGACAGGAGGGGUUAAAUGAGAACUAAGUGCGGCAUUUAGGAAAUAUAGAAGUUAAAUGUGUCUUUUGAGAAUUUCAUAACUUUAAGUGCAUCUUUAGUCAAUUGUCGGAUUUAACUAAAUUUGUUUUGCAGCUGCUUGGAGAUGCUGUAGCAUGAUGAUGAGUGUAAUCCAUGAAGCAAGUUUAGGACCAGGUACUUUUCUUGGCCGGUCCCAUGAUUUGUCUGGAGCACCUUACCUUGUUUGCCAUCCAUCAGCUUGAGAAGGUUUCUUUGGAAGUGAGCACAGGGCUCGGAGUCGCGAAGAAGCACUCCUCAAGAGAGCGAUCUCAUUGUCGUCGUCCUCCUCCUCGGCGAGCUUCAUCUUGAGAGUUUCGAAUUUGGCGGUUGGACAUUUCAACCG
Molecule: long non-coding RNA, 2103 nt
Organism: Zingiber officinale
Lineage: Eukaryota; Viridiplantae; Streptophyta; Magnoliopsida; Zingiberales; Zingiberaceae
Exons: 3
Source: RefSeq, a predicted model, not a curated record